UGGCGUUUCUAAAGAAUAAAGAAAAAUAAACAGAAAAAAAGAUGCGGGGUAUGUAACCAUUAUUUUAUUGCAGAGUUAUUUUAGAACUAUGAUAUCCUAAGUUAUUUAUUGAAACCAAAUUAUGUCAA
Molecule: long non-coding RNA, 128 nt
Organism: Pieris napi
Lineage: Eukaryota; Metazoa; Arthropoda; Insecta; Lepidoptera; Pieridae
Exons: 2
Source: RefSeq, a predicted model, not a curated record